GCUAUUGGUUGCUAAAUGUAACAAUGGAUUCAUAUUACUUACAAGGCCCCAGCCCUUUGGCUGGGUUUGAGUCAGAGCUGGUACUACAUCUUGGGUUCAGUCGAUUACAGGCAAAGAGACAGAGUUUCUCCUACAUCUGGUUUUUAUUCAGUGUAUUCCUAAGUAGGCUGGCCUGUGAUGUCAAAAAUGUCUGAAUAACACCCCACAUGUACAUAUUUUUUUUAAAGUAGACAACACAGGGUAUUCAAUAUGGGGUAUGUCCAGUCUUUUUUAGUAGCCACCUAGUUGGAAACACUGGCCAAAGUUAGCAUUUAUAUUUGUUUGUGUGUGAAAAAAGUAAAAAACUAAAUUGAAC
This is a non-coding RNA of Pelobates cultripes (western spadefoot toad), 355 nucleotides long. NCBI's taxonomy places the organism in Eukaryota, Metazoa, Chordata, Amphibia, Anura, Pelobatidae. The record is from the annotation of a GenBank genome assembly.